This 229-nucleotide ribosomal RNA is filed under the name uncultured bacterium. Its description in RNAcentral is "partial 16S ribosomal RNA". It matches the Rfam family "Bacterial small subunit ribosomal RNA", at positions 107 to 334 of the family's 1533-position model. The record is from RNAcentral.
UGAGUAACACGUGUCCAACCUGCCGUCUACUCUUGGCCAGCCUUCUGAAAGGAAGAUUAAUCCAGGAUGGCAUCAUGAGUUCACAUGUCCGCAUGAUUAAAGGUAUUUUCCGGUAGACGAUGGGGAUGCGUUCCAUUAGAUAGUAGGCGGGGUAACGGCCCACCUAGUCAACGAUGGAUAGGGGUUCUGAGAGGAAGGUCCCCCACAUUGGAACUGAGACACGGUCCAA